AUGGAGUCACAGACCCAGGUCUUCAUAUUCCUAUUGCUCUGGUUGUCUGGUGCUGAUGGAGAUAUUGUGAUGACCCAGUCUCCCAAAUCCUUGCCUGCAUCAGUAGGAGAAACUGUCACCCUGACCUGCAAGGCCAGUCAGAAUGUGGAUAGUUAUGUAUCCUGGUACCAACAGAAACCAGGGCAGUCGCCUAAACCUCUGAUCUACAGAGCAUCCAACAGGCACACUGGGGUCCCUGAUCGAUUCACAGGCAGUGGAUCUGGGACAGAUUACACUUUCACCAUCAGGAGUUUUUAG
This is a non-coding RNA of Arvicanthis niloticus (Nile rat), 297 nucleotides long. The record is from the annotation of a RefSeq genome assembly. Lineage: Eukaryota; Metazoa; Chordata; Mammalia; Rodentia; Muridae.